UACGGAGGGGGCUAGCGUUGUUCGGAAUUACUGGGCGUAAAGCGCACGUAGGCGGACUGAUCAGUCAGAGGUGAAAUCCCAGGGCUCAACCCUGGAACUGCCUUUGAUACUGUCAGUCUGGAGGUCGAGAGAGGUGAGUGGAAUUCCGAGUGUAGAGGUGAAAUUCGUAGAUAUUCGGAGGAACACCAGUGGCGAAGGCGGCUCACUGGCUCGAUACUGACGCUGAGGUGCGAAAGCGUGGGGAGCAAACAGG
RNAcentral lists this ribosomal RNA (253 nucleotides) under uncultured bacterium. Its description in RNAcentral is "partial 16S ribosomal RNA". It matches the Rfam family "Bacterial small subunit ribosomal RNA", at positions 524 to 776 of the family's 1533-position model. The record is from RNAcentral.